RNAcentral lists this ribosomal RNA (508 nucleotides) under uncultured bacterium. RNAcentral's name for it is "partial 16S ribosomal RNA". It matches the Rfam family "Bacterial small subunit ribosomal RNA", at positions 28 to 523 of the family's 1533-position model. The record is from RNAcentral.
GAUGAACGCUAGCUACAGGCUUAACACAUGCAAGUCGAGGGGAAACGAUAUUGGAAGCUUGCUUCCGAUGGGCGUCGACCGGCGCACGGGUGAGUAACGCGUAUCCAACCUGCCCACCACUUGGGGAUAACCUUGCGAAAGUAAGACUAAUACCCAAUGACGUCUCUAGAAGACAUCUGAAAGAGAUUAAAGAUUUAUCGGUGAUGGAUGGGGAUGCGUCUGAUUAGCUUGUUGGCGGGGUAACGGCCCACCAAGGCUACGAUCAGUAGGGGUUCUGAUAGGAAGGUCCCCCACAUUGGAACUGAGACACGGUCCAAACUCCUACGGGAGGCAGCAGUGAGGAAUAUUGGUCAAUGGGCGAGAGCCUGAACCAGCCAAGUAGCGUGCAGGAUGACGGCCCUAUGGGUUGUAAACUGCUUUUAUAAGGGAAUAAAGUGAGUCUCGUGAGACUUUUUGCAUGUACCUUAUGAAUAAGGACCGGCUAAUUCCGUGCCAGCCGCCGCGGUAA